AGUUUUAGUGUUAUCGAAUAUUUCAUUUAAACUAUACAUACAGACAUACCACAAUUCUUUCAUUAUCAGCUGACAAUUACUUUCACAAAAAUCCGGUGGUACUCUGCACAGUAAUAAAUACAAGAUUUGCGGAAACAGUAUCGUUUCGUAAUUCAUCAUAUCAUCACACAAAAUGAAAUUUUUUUCUUUCGCAUCGAUCAUAUUUUUUAGCUGCUGUUGUUUUAUUGCUACCUCAGAUAUUUUUAUUAAUAACAAUUUUAAUAAAGAUUCAGGUUUAAGGGCCAUAAUAUUUCGGGUAUCUUGUAGAGGAUGGCAUCAUAGCGGUCACUGCCUUGGGAACUACAAUCGAUUUCAUGAUGAAACGAUCAACAAAAAAUUUAUGAACCUGAAGACGAAGAAAAAAGAAAAUCCUAAGCCCAUAUUUAAGUUUUAAUUGUUGAAAGUAGCAGUGACUAAAUAUAAGAAGUAAUAUACCCCAAAUAGAUAUUUGGCUGCAUUCUCCAGUUAUUUAAUCCGUUUGUAAUUUUUGGUAAGAUAAUUGUAAAGAUUUAAUAAAAUGAUCCAACUAAUUUAAA
Bactrocera oleae (olive fruit fly) is the source of this 575-nucleotide long non-coding RNA. RefSeq lists it as uncharacterized. The record is from RefSeq and is a predicted model, not a curated record. NCBI's taxonomy places the organism in Eukaryota, Metazoa, Arthropoda, Insecta, Diptera, Tephritidae.